Equus caballus (horse) is the source of this 4817-nucleotide long non-coding RNA. Lineage: Eukaryota; Metazoa; Chordata; Mammalia; Perissodactyla; Equidae. The record is from Ensembl.
GAAAAUAAACAAUCACCAGAAUGGUAUCAUCAGAGAGAGUUAAUUUAGCAUUUUAGCACACGUAUUUUUGGCCUUCUUUAUACUUACACGUCUAUGGUGUCUAUAUUAUAGAGAUACUGUAAAUAUUUGCUUUUCAUCCACUUGAUAGUGUACCAUGAAUACUUGUCAUGCUGUUAAUUAUUAAUCUAAAACAUGAUUUUCAAACUUUCAGAUGCAUAAGAAUCACCUGGGAGCAUGUGGGAAACGAAGGUUCUAAGGGUCCUCACUCACAGAUCCGAACGCAUGAAUCUGAGAUGAGGACCAGAGAGCUGCCUGUUGAAAAGCAUCCCAGUGAUUCUGAUGCAGGCGCCUCCCGGCACUCACUCUGACAAACACCGUCCACAGCGCGAUUGUUAAUUGCCGCACUGUGUUUUAUUACAUAGACGUGCCAUAACUUAUUAAACCAAUCUGAUAUUGUUCAUUCAACUCUAGUUUCCAAAUUUUCAUCUGCAUGAUUAAUUCCUCAAUGAAUAACCUACUACAUAACUCUUUCUGAACCUCUCUGAUUAUUCGCUUACAAAGAUGCUACAAAGCGGAAUUACUGGGUCAAAGAGAAUGCAAACUUGAGAAAAGCAGAUGGUAUUUUGGGUAGAAAAACAACCUUCUAAGCUGUAAAGUAUUAGACUAAGAUGAAAGAUUUAACAGCUGCCGCUUUCUGAGAGACUUUCAUACACCAGGAUGGUGGUUCUCAAAAUUUAUCCCGCGUGGACUCACCUGGAGGGCUUAUAAAAACAGAUUGCUGUCGCUUCCUCCCUGCCCGCUCUGAUUCAGCAGGUGAGGUGGGGCUGGAAAGGUGCGUUUCUAACAAGUUCUCAGAUGCUGCUGAUGCUGCUGGUUUGGGGACCACACUUCGAGAACUAGACGCUAUCCCAGCUGUUUCAAGCAAGUUAUUUAAAUGCCCUGGCAGCCCUUUACAGGCGAGGGCUGAGACUCAGAGAGGGUCUGAGGCCAUGAAGCUAAUGAUGCCAGAGCCGGGCGCUCUGAUUCCAGGUUUGAUCAUUUAAUGGCUGAUGCUUUCCUACAAACAGCCUCGUUUCUUACUUCAUUUCACUGCCCACAGAUAAAAUAUUUUUUGAUGUCUUCAUAAUAAGCGCCAAAGGUUCCGGUGUAAACCGCAUCCCUCCCAAUCUCGUAGGGGUGGCUGGGCGAGGAGAGAGGUUUGGAAGUGUUGGCUGAGAAUUUUUUCAGGGGCAGCUGGUCCAAUGAGUGACACUCCACCAUUCACAUCAAUCGGAUGGGUUCCUUCCCCGCCCUCCAUGGCUUCACCGACAUGUGGACUUCCAGACAAUCACUUCUCAACAGUUACUGCAACCGGGUAAUACUUCUUCCUCAGAAGAGAGCUCUCUCUUCUCCAAAAACCACCUCCAGGCUGCUCCACACAAUGGCCCAAACAACCUGUUUGUUCAGGCAACUCAGAAAAUAAAUCAUAUCAGUGCGGAAAAACAAGGAACUCCUGUCAAACCUGCUGGUUAAUAAUACCCGGCAGAGCAAACAGCAGGGGCCUGGCAAACAAGGAGCCAGGAUGGCUUCUCCCACACUCAGGUUAAGAGAGGUGAGCGUUUCCGAACCCACGCCCAGCCUCGCCAGCCACGUGAGUCACACAUAUUUCACAACUGAAGAAAUUCGAAGACCUAAUUAUGCAAAAUUUCGCCUGUUUAUCAUCUCGGGCUUUUGUCACCCUGCUGCCUUGUAGUGUGUUGACAAUUGUGUGUCGAUUUUUUUUCUCCAUAUGUCAUUCAGUCUCCAUGUCUUGAUCCUGCGAUUUGAGGUCUUUGCUAGGCACUCUACAAAGAGAAAUGGAACGCCGGCUGUCUAAAACAUGUUUUGUGUGGCUUCUAGAUAGUUCCAUUGGAUGUGGGUGCCCGAGAACAAUCCAUCCUUCCUGCCCAAUUACAUAACUCAGAAGGCGUUACUCCUAUCUGUCUUAAGGCAAAUUCGGUCUGGGCUGCUUCAUCAUGUAAGACAAGGCAGUACAUCCAACAGCGACAUAAUUGGUCUUUCUGCAUGUGCUCUGAGCCCCCACGGCUUAUUGUUAACACAGCUACUAGAGUCAUCUUUCCAAAGUGACCAUAGUCAACAUGGGGGCGCCACCUGGUACCACGAGGAGCACACCAAGAAAGAGCAGCAACACUGAAGGACUGCGGGAGCCGGACGCUGGGAAUCUGCCGUCUUUCCCUGGACUGCCCACCUCGGCUCAGCUUUCACGUGAGAGAAAUAGAUUGUGUUCUCAUGUAAGCCACAGCCAUUUUGGAUUUUCCUGUUGUGCAGUCAAACCUAACCCUAAAUAAUGCACACCUGUGAUUUGAAAGCAUUUUAGCGCUUACAAAAACACCCUAUAUUACUUAUCUCAUUUCUUCAACAAUCCUAUACAAUGCAAGGAACAGGAACUAUCAUUCCCACUUUUCAGUCGAAGAAACUGACCUUUUAGGAAGUUAAAUGACUUGCACACGGUCAAACAACUAGUAAGUAGAGAGUCUGGAUCAAAGAGAAGUUCGAUAUCUUCGUACAACUAGUCCCACCUGUUGAGACAGGGAGACACAAGCCCGGUGCACGGUCCUGGAGUGAGACAGAUCUGACUGCAGAUUUUUCUGUCUGGCUCCUCUUGUCUUAGGCGAGUUAUCUACCUUUCGUGAUCCUCAUGUAAUUAUUUGCAAGGUGGGUAAACAAUACCUCUAGGGAUCAAACGCUCCGAAUGAGAUAAGGUUUGUGGAGCUCCUGGUCCAGGGUCUGAGAUACAGCAGAUGCUCAGUAAAUAGAGCUCUUAUGGUGGCAGAUGCUUAUCAUUCUAAAGGUUAUUCAGAUGUGGGAGCAAAGGAAUGGAGGGGAGAGACUCAAAGGCUGCUUCAUCUUGAAGUUCUGUAUGUCUGUAAAGAAUUUGAAAUAUUUUUCUUUCUUUCUGGUUCAAAAGAUCAGAUUAGUGGGCCUGGGAGUGGCUAAGUUUCUUGUGUCCUCUGAACAUCUUCAAGUUAUUUCUCCCUAUCUCCAUUUGGGGAGAGACGUCACAGAAAAAUGUUUUUUGCUUUCAAGCUUCUCACAAGACUCAAGAAGAUGGGAAAGCACCCAUUCCAAAGCAAUUUCUAAAUUUCCCUUAUAGAAGUGAAGCGGGAACUCCUAGAGUAGCAAGUUGAAUUUUGUUUCUCAAAUACAGUUUGCAUGCCCCCUUCAGGUAUGUGAUAUCAGACUCAACUAGAUGAGAAAAAUGUCCUUCAAGCCCCUCAGACCUUGAAGAAAGUCAUCCAGAUGCACCCUCUGACGUGCACCUGCAACCACAACGGGGAGCCACGAUGUUUCAGAAAUGUAUCAGCAGCAGAGAGCAUGUUGCUAUUCCCCACACAAUUCAUUUGGGUAAUCCUGCAGUGGCUGUUGUGACAGCAUCUAGUUUGUGGCCACUUUCGUCCCUCGCAAUCUUUUCUGCCCACCAGCAUAGCAAGAGGUCUCAUGGUUGCUUUUCAAUACUGAAGAUUUUGCUGGGUCCUGACUGUACUUCAUCUCUAAAGUGAAGCCUUUCCGGAUGCUUAUGUGCUGCUCCUUGACUCACUGACCUUAGGCUGCGUCCCUUUUCUGACAAGUGCCCUUUCUUACCACGUUUUUCACCCAUCUUGCUAUCUGACUCCAGAUUACAUUAAAUCAACUUUUAAUUUAUUUAGGUAAAUAGCAUUUAGGAAAGCUUUUAUGUCAUUUUAAAAAAGCAACUUCUAUUCAACUGGUAAUGGCCCUGGGAAGUUAUACACAUCUGGCUGUCAAGACUUAAAUGCACAUAUAGUUCUUUGGUGCAUGUGUAUGUUAUAAGUAAAAUUCAGAUGCUGAAGAUUAUUUGGACAGACACGGAACUCUGUUAAUUAGAGCUGCCUCUUCAGGAUCGGAACCUGAGAAUUGUGCUCUUAUUAUGUAAUACACAGGCAAAGUAGGUUACUGUACCUGACGUGGGGCAAAUGUUUAUAAUGUCCAGCCAGAACUGUCACCUGAGGACACAGAGAACAAAGAAACAGAAAGCCCUAAUCAGAUUAGAGCUUAACGAACCCACCUCCGGCUAGCUGUGGACUCGCCCAUGCCAGGCCGUGCCAACGAACAAACAGUAGGACAAAAAUGAGAGAACCAAACCUCUUCUGAAUUAUUUACAUUCUUCUGGUCGCUGUAAUUACAGGAUAUUUUUCAUUUUCUGUUACAACUUGCUCCCAUGCUGAUAUGUUUUUAAGUUGCGAUUUGUUCUCUGUUGCGAGAUAGUUAUGGUAAUCAUUAAAAUGGGCAAAAUUUCUUUCUGAAACAUAUAAAAAAUAAUAGCUGUGUAUGUUUCCACAGAACUGGCGUUUGUGGAUGAAUGGCAGUUCCAGUUAGGUUUUAUAUAAUUUAGCACAAACAUUGCUAGACUGCAAACAUACCACACACAGAACAUCAUAAUAUAAAUUAUGUAGUCCGAAUAAAAUAUCAGGAAAAUCACAUAGUUAAUAUAUUUAUAUAUUUGUCCUUUAUUCCUAAAUAUGAAUUUUUAAGGGAACAUUUUUUCCUGAUAACUAAAACAAUACGUGUUUACUUUAGAAGAGAUGGAAAAAACAAAAAUAAAAAGGAGUCAAUAAGAAUCACUCAUAAUCCUACAACCCAGAGACAUCCAUUCUGUUACCUAGGGGUGGGUAGUUAACUCUGUUAAUUAGGUACAUGCACCCUACUUCUAGUUUUUUUUCUAUACGUUUUAUUUUACAAAAUUGUAUUAUACUGUAACUGUUUUAUAGUCUUAAACAUAUAUGUAUGUAACUGGCAUAUAUAUAUAUAUAGUAACUGGC